RNAcentral lists this ribosomal RNA (321 nucleotides) under Euschmidtia cruciformis. RNAcentral describes it as "partial 12S ribosomal RNA". The record is from RNAcentral. Lineage: Eukaryota; Metazoa; Arthropoda; Insecta; Orthoptera; Euschmidtiidae.
AAUAAAAGUUAAGAUCUUUAAACUUAAAGAAUUUGGCGGUAUUUUAACCUUUUAGAGGAACCUGCCCUGUAAUUGAUGGUACACGAUUAACUUUACUUAAUUUAUUGUUUGUAUAUCUCCGUUAAAAGAAUAUCUUAUAAAAGAUUUAAUUUUCUUGAUUUUAAUUAAAAAUUAUUUCAGGUCAAGAUACAGCUUAUAAUUAAGAAGAGGUGGGUUACAUUAAAAUUUAUUUGCUUUUUAUCAAUGAAUAAUAAAUAUAAUAGAUGGAUUUAAUAGUAAUGUUAAUAAUUUAAUUAUAAUGAUUUAGGCUCUAUAAUAUGU